This 385-nucleotide long non-coding RNA is filed under the name Struthio camelus australis. Its description in RNAcentral is "lncRNA (ENSSCUG00000018589.1)". Lineage: Eukaryota; Metazoa; Chordata; Aves; Struthioniformes; Struthionidae. The record is from RNAcentral.
UCUGCCCCGCGGGUGCGGGCUGCUGCGGGCCCUCUGCCUCGGGGUUUUGUGUUGAUUUAAGUAGCUGCGGUGGAAAAUUCCCCAGUGUAACUGUUCUUCUGUGGGAGCGGCACUAAUGUACUCACGGCAUCUUUACGCCAGCGAGCCGAGCGCACGGAGGUGACAUUCACUCACACGUUUACACAAAUGGAAACUUGGCAUUCAUGAGUCACUGAUCUUAAUGUGGGAUUAAGAACAAAAACCUAUGCUUCUUGACACCUACCGUCAGGAUUUGCCUGGAUACAGCUGGAACAAGAAUCUGACCCUAAGGACUGUGCUGUGGAAGAUUUGCAGCUCUUUACAUUAGAGCAGAAAUUAGGUAAUGUUUCUGUUACUUAUAAUUAAG